AACCAUCCCACAUGCCUGGAUAAGGGGCCUUGAUUUAGAACAUGUUGCUGUGGAACCAGAGCUAACACCAAGUCCGGAGUGUGUGCAGUGAUAUGAUGCUUUGGAGUGCUAUGUGCUACUGAACUAAAGAUGGCAGAACCUCAGAAAUCAUCUAAAGUCGCUGUCAAGAAAAUGGAAGACGACUUACCUCCCCCUCCCAUCCCUGGCUCAGUCCAAGUCAUCGCUCCAGGGAGCCAGGAUCCCAACCCACUCCCUGUGCCUCCUCCUAAGCAAGCUUUCUCCAAGUUCUACCAGCAGCGACAAGUAAAUGAGCUAAAGAGGCUCUACAGACACAUGCAUCCUGAGCUCAGGAAGAACUUGGAAGAAGCUGUGACUGAGGACCUGGCAGAAAUGCUUAAUACUGAAGAUCCCAAUGCACAGGGAUCUGUGAACCUGGAUAAAGUUCUUCCCGGUGAGGUUCAGUCCAUGCGCUGGAUCUUUGAGAACUGGGCACUUGACUCUAUUGGGGACCAUCAAGCCACAAAGAAGAUGAUGGAAGAUGAGAUAAUUCCUGGUGGGGAUGUGAAAAGUACUUCUCUGAGGUUUGAAAACCAGUCCGUCAAUGGGGACUAUCUGUCAACAACAGCAAAGUUAUCAGAGACAGACCUUGCCAGAGGGGAUGUGCAUACUGCCCGGUGGCUCUUUGAAACCCAGCCUUUGGACUCGUUAAACAAACUGUACUCAGAUGAAACUGAAGUGCAAGAGGCAGUUCUCAAGGAGCCGGUCCAGGGAGGUGAUGUGAAAGGUGCCAAAGAACUCUUCGAAGCCCAGUCCUUGGAUGCUAUAGGACGCUGCUGCUCCGUGGAGGAGAGGAGCAUCCUGCAGCUCAAGUCAGAAAUCCAGGAGCUAAAAGGUGAUGUCAAGAAGACUAUCAGACUCUUCCAAACAGAGCCCCUCUGUGCAAUUAGGGACAAAACUGGAAACAUCCAUGAAAUCAAGUCUGUUUGCCGAGAAGAAAUUCAGAGCAAUGCAGUCAGAACAGCUCGCUGGCUGUUUGAGACUCAGCCACUGGAUACCAUCAACAAGGACACUUCUAAAGUACAAAUAAUCCGUGGGAUCUCAUUGGAAGAAAUAGGAAGGCCAGAUGUCAGUGGAGCAAGGUGGAUAUUUGAAACUCAGCCUCUGGAUGCCAUCAGAGAAAUUACUGUUGAAGAACAGGAUUUCAAAGCUUCAACAGAUUUUGUUACAGGGGCAGAUGUCAGUAAACAGCGAUUACUCUUUGAGACCCAGGCCCUUGAUUCUUUGAAAGGAGAAGCUUCAGAGAGCGUUGCAGCCAAAGAACAAGUCAUUGGAGGUGAUGUGAAAUCUACACUCUGGCUAUUCGAAACUCAACCGAUGGAAACCCUGAAAGACAAUUUUGAAGUGGGUCAUUUGAAAAAAGUAGAGCUUUCAGCAGAGGAGAAAGGAGAUGUGAAACAAAGAAAACAUGUGUUUGAGACCUGUCCCCUUGGCAGUAUCUCCAAGGCAUUUGAGGAAGAAGUUUCAGCUGCCAGCACAGAAGAAGUGGUUAAAGGGGAUGUGAAAUCUUUCAAGACUCUAUUUGAGACUCUCCCCCUAGAUAGCAUCAAGGAGGUUGAUGCUGAGCCUGUCACCAAGGAAGAGGAGAAGAUUCCACCUGGUAAUGUCAAAGCUAAUCAAAUCCUAUUUGAAACUACACCCCUCUAUGCCAUCAAGGAUAGCUUUGGCAAUUUUCAUGAAGUCACAUCUGUAAGCAGAGAGCAAGUCAUUAGUGGUGACGUCAAGAGGUACAAAUGGAUGUUCGAAACCAGGCCACUGGACCAGUUUGAUGAAAGCACCAAGAAAGUGGAUAUAAUACGGGGGAUCACAAAACAGGAGGUGGUGGCUGGUGAUGUCAGAACAGCCAAGUGGCUCUUUGAAACUCAACCUAUGGAUGUCAUUCAUCACCAAGCCACUCAAGGUGAGGAACACCCCUCAGUGAAGAGGGAAAUCUCCCAGCGGGGGGAUGUGAAGACCUGUAGAUGGCUUUUUGAGACCCAGCCCAUGCACACCCUGUAUGAGAAGGCUGAAAAGAAGCAAGAAGAGGAUGUCAGUGUGCCUCAAGCUGACGUGAAAUCAUACACGUGGAUGUUUGAGACUCAACCCCUGGACUCCCUGAAAGGUCAAGAGGAGCAGUAUUUGAGAGUCAGUAAAGCAUACAGUCAGGAUGAAUUACAGGGAGUUGAUGUCAAAACUGUCCGCCAUCUAUUUGAGACUGAACCUUUGGGCAGCAGUGUUGUCAGUGAAGCUGACCAAAAGAAAACCCUGCGGUACUCUAGCCGUGUGGAGAUACAGUCUGGAGAAGUGUCCAGAGUGAAGGAAUUUUUCGAGGCGAAGCCUUUAGAUACAACAACAAAACCAACUGCGGUCAUCAAGGAUGAUGGAACGAUCGAAGCUGGAUCAGUGCACAAAUUCACUUGGCUCUUUGAGAAUUACCCCAUGGACACCCUGAAGGACAGCUCUGAAGGUAUCCAGGAAAUCCCUCCAGAGAAGGAUAUCAAGGGUGGAGAUGUUGGAGGCAAAAGGUUCAUAUUUGAGACCUACUCCCUUGACCAAAUCCAUGAGAAAGUAGAUGAGACAGAGCUCCAUAAGAUCCAGAAAGAUACCAUGAGCAAAGCAAACGUCAAGUCCUGCACAAUGCUCUUUGAAAGCAAACCCUUAUAUGCUAUCCAGGACAAAGAGGGGGGAUAUCAUGAGGUCACUUCAGUGCAGAAAGAAGAAAUCAUGAAAGGCGACGUGAAAGGUGCACGGUGGUUGUUUGAAACUAAGCCUCUGGAUCAGAUCAAAAAGGAUGAAGAAGUGUUUGUGAUUAGGGCUGUCACCCAAGAGGACAUCAAGAAAGGAGAUGUCCAGGCUGCCCGGUGGAGGUUUGAAACAGAGCCUCUUGACUCUUUCCCUGGAGGAAAGAUUUCUGUGCCCAGAACAGUAGAUGAUGUGCAGAAGGGAGAUGUUCAGUCCAACAAGCAGCUCUUUGAGUCCCAGCAAGUGGGCCAGAAGAAAUAUGUAAGGAUGGUCAGUGUCAGUGAUGUUCAGCGGGGUGAUGUGAGGACAUCUACCUGGCUUUUUGAAAACCAGCCUGUGGACUCCCUUUAUGGGGAUGCAGACAGAAGCUCAUCUAUCAGCACAGUGCAGAGAGAGGACAGCCAGAAAGGAGAUGUCAAACGCUGCACCUGGUUGUUUGAAACCCAGCCCAUGGACACUCUUAAGGACCCCGAGGUGACAGUCAGUACUGGGACACAAGAACCAAUCCCUCGUGCAGAUGUGAAAAGCACAACAUGGCUCUUUGAGAGUACGCCCUUGGAUAAAUUCGGUGCUUCUGAAUGCAGCAGGGAAGCAGAACUGAAAGAAAGAACUAUGAGGGAAACAUUAGAGACACUCUGUACUUGCCAGGCUAUUCAGCACGAUGGGAUCCUCAUUGAAGCCAAUGAUAUGGAGAGCGUGAAGAUGGUGAAGUACCAGCUCAGUAGCCCAGGUGCUCCAGAAAUCCUGAAAGAAGAGAUUGUGAGAGGCCAUUUACAAGGGAUCAUGCUGCAACUCCUGCACAGAACCAAUGUGGAACCACAGAGUGUGCUGGUGGAGGAGGACAGAGAGGGCAAGAUCAAAGUAAGCUCUUUGCAGCUUCUGGACCAGAGUGAAGCUAUUAAAGGCAAAGAGGACUUGAGUGGAAAUGUAGCUAAGGCUCUCCAGGGCCUCCUUAGUCAAGAUGCUUCCAUCAAAAAGGGGAUGGUCAUACAAGAGACAAAGUCAGAAUCAGUGAAGAUGACCCUCUACUCCCUCCUGUUCCAUUCUGUCCAGCAAAAAGUUGUCAAGGGGGAUGUGAAGUCAACGAUAGGGAACCUGAUGGCUUCUUCUCAGGAGCAGAAGGCUACAGUAACUGUUAAGCGUGAGGACAAUGAGAAAGGGAACGUCCAGCUUUUUGCGAGCUGCAUUGAGAAGGGAGAUCUGGACUAUCUGAAGAACCUUCAGCAGGAGUCAGAAAUACAGUCCCUCAUCUCUGCCCAGGCAGAGCAAGGGACAGCUGAAAGUGCCCUGCGGGUUUUGCAGGGGACUAAUACACAUGUCUUAGAAAACAAAGAACAAGUAGAGAAAGUAAUGGCAGAAGCAAAGCCAGGGGCUCCGGAGGGAGCAAAAAAGGUAUUUGCAUGUGAAAGCACGGGCAAGGAGGGUGCGUUAGAGAGAGAGGUUGUGCGUGCUGUGGGUGUGACAGGCACCACUGUGCAAUGCCUUGGGAAGCCUCAGAACCUGCCCACAGGGAUGGAAAAGGAAGAAAUCAUGUCAGGGGGGCUUAAAGUAACUACAAAGUCAAUUCAAAGGGUUGCAGAUGUCAGCAAGAAUACAGAGAAAGAAGAAUCCACCUCUGCACGUCUGAAGGAGCACAAAGCUACGAUGCAAGGCAUUACCCAGAGCAAAGUGACAGCUGAGAGGAGUGAAGUGGUUGGAGAACAGCAGAGUUUGGUGACUGAGCAAGCCAGCCAGAAGCAGUCAGAAGAGAAGGCCCUUGGGAAUGAUCUUCAGGCUGCAAUGCAAAGCCUGAGGCUAGCAACAGCAGAAGCGAGAAACAUUCAACAUCAUGUUCAAAGCAAGCUACAAAGGAACAGGGAGGAAGUCCACACGGCCUGCAGACAGCAGGUAGCUAGUAAGCAGGAGACAAAGACCCUUCAGUCAACUGUACAUCAACAAGAGUCUGCAUCUACCAUGCGGGAGAAUGCCAGCACAGCUGUCAGGACCACCACCACUAGAGUCCAGGAGGCAUCCCAGACCCACACAAGUGUGUCUCAGAAGAGUAUAGCAUCACAUAAAAAGGUCAGUGCUUCAGAGGAAGUACAGGGAGGACAACUAUUGAGCCAGAAAAACCAAGUUGUGCCUAGUAGAGAUGUUAGCAUUAAGGAUGGCCUUUAUACUGCCACACCUGUGAAAACCUAUAUAAACCCUUUCGUUGAGUCUGAUUACAAAGAGCGAUCAGUGCAAGAAGAAAGAGAUGUUAUUAUCAGAGGGGAUGUACAGACAGCUAUCAGAGCACUGCAAAGUGCCGCCACAGAACAGCGCCUGGUAGAAAAGGAGGAUGUUGUCCGUGGUAAUUUAAAAGCCACACUUCAGUCACUGGAAAAGUCUAACGUUAAUGUCUCCAAAGGGGAUUUUAAAGCUGCUAUGAUAUACAGAAAUGCAGGGCAGUCCUAUUCUGUGUGUAAAAAGAAAAGUGAGACUCAAGUCAAUAAUAACCAGACAGCUGUAGUGGCUUCAGGGUCACAAGCUGAUAAUGACUUUCCUCCUCCUCCCCCAGUUGCUGUGAUGAAAGCAGAACAUUGUCCACCCUCAACCAAAGCAACAAGAGAAGGUGCCCUUACAUUAUUAACCAGCAAAGAUGAAGCUCCAGGAUGUUUCUCACCACUCCAGACCCCUCUUCCUUCCCUUCCUUCUCUGUCCUGCAAACCCAGUGACCAGAAUUCUACAGAAAAGCCCAAGAUUCCUCCAAAACCAGAAAUCACUGCCCCACCAAGAAAAAAGCCUGUCCCCCCACCAAAACCCGAGCACCUCUUACAUGAGGCAUAUUCUGCUUCUACAAAUAAGAGCACAAGCAGAUUAACCAAAUCUAUCCCUCCACCCGUGCCUGCAAAAACUCCAGGCUUGAGGGAAAUCAGCAAGCCAAAGCCUCCCCCUGCAGAGCUGAAGUUAAGUUGCACAGAAGUAUGUGAACAAUCAGACCACAGGGAGAGUCAAGAAAAAUAUAGCACUUUGGAGUCAUCUGUGGACAAAUCUAUUACAGUUCAGGACAAAUCUAUGACAAUUCAGGGCUCUGAGAGAAAGCUGCCUAAAUAUCCUAUCAAAACCCCUCUUCAGCUGGCAGAGGAAAGGUACAAGGCAAGCAAAGGAGGACAAGGCAAGUUUGAACUGGACAGAGCUAAGCCUUCAAAGCCAGUGAAAAAUGGAGAGGUUGGAUUUGAAGCCAAGCAAGGGAUGUUGAAUGGGAAAGCAGCAGCUCCAAUAAGCUGCUCCCGUGAGGUAGUUCAGAGGCAUUCUGAGAUGUGUCAACAAGAGGAGAGAUUCUCUUCAAUGUCAUAUGCAGCCUCUCCUGGUAGAGCACAGACACCUACAAUGCCAGGACAGACUGAGCCAAGCACCUCCUCUGUGGGCCAUGACACUCCUCCAAAGAGAGGAGAUGACAUUGCAAAAAAUGCCUCAACCAAGGUGGAAAGGGAAGGUGUGUAUAAUGCCUAUUCAUCAUGGGAAAGUCAGAGAGUCAUGCAGCAAGUGAAUGAAAGGAAACAAACGAGUCAUUCAGUGUCCUUCCAUCAGCAGCCAAAGAACGCUUCCAAGGAAGAACAACAGGGAAAUAGUGAGCAACCAAAACGUCCUGAUGUGGAGGCAGAGGCACCUGCUCAGGAGAAGCCAGCAGUUAUUAUGAGAGAAAAAGCCAAGAGUGAAACAGAAGAUGAACGUCGGAAGAGGCUGUCAGUGCACAAAGAGGAGAUAAUGAAAGGCAACGUCAAAGAGGCUAUGGAGAUCUUUGAAAAUCUCAGAAGACAAGAGGAGCUGCAAGAGAUCUUGACUAGGGUGAAGGAGUUUGAAGAGGAAACAAGCAAAGUGGAUGUGAAAUCGCUGAGGAGCCUUUUUGAGAAGGUCCCUGAUUGGAUGGUUCGUCAGAAGGCCCUCCAGGCCAAACAACAGGAUGGGGCUGUGACACAGACCAAGGAUGACACUGACAGUGUCUCCUCAGUAGAGAUGGUUUUCGGGGACCUGGAGAGAGCGAGUGCUGAGAUUAUCCACCUGAAGGAGCAGACACUCGCCCGACUCUUAGACAUUGAGGAGGCUAUCAAGAAAGCUCUUUAUUCUGUCUCCAGUCUCAAGUCUGAGUCAGACAUCGCUGGGCUCUCUGGUCUGUUCAAAGAAUCUCUGGGGAGCACCCAGAGCUCUACAAGCAGCAGCAAUAUCCGCAAAAUCAGUAUUGUGUCAAGCAAAGCCAGACAGGAGGAAACAACGGUGGAAACAGGGGAGGCAGCAUCAGUGGAAGGUGCAAAGGCGGCAGAAAAGACUGAGGUAACCAAGUCAGAGCUGGAGGUCCCCCGUCAAGUUCAUCCUCGUGUCAGUUCUCCCUCUUCACCUUCCUACAUCACCAUCGAGUCUGCUGCCAGGAAACCAGCAGAGUCACCCAGGACAGCACAUUCCCCACGAGACAUCCCUUCCCCAGAUCGUCCGGACACUCCAGGAAAGAAGGAUGCUUUUGCUCAGGAGAGUUCUAACUCCAUUAACCAUCCAUCAGCUGGGUCAUCUGGGCAUGACACGUCUCCCUUUGAGAAGAGACCGGAGCCCACCCAAACAAAUGCUGAGGAGAACUCAGUGAAACAGCACACCCCUGCUAACACCAACAAUCAGGUCGAUGAGAAAGAGAGGUGCCCUCCAGAUGCCUCCAAAGGUAGCUGCCAGUGUGGGGUGAAAGGAGGCUUUCCAGGAUAUUGCUCCCCAAGCACCCCCAGCCCACAGAACCCACGGAGGCAGAAAAGCAUCUUGGAGCUGAAGACAGGGCCUGAUGGAUCCAAGCUCUAUGGAGCUACCCGGACUGUCACAGAGCAGUAUGAGGAAAUGGACCAAUUUGGAAAUAAAAUCAUCACUUCAUCUACCACAGUCACCAAGCAAUCUGAAACACAAACAUCCUCCACGUGUGGUGUGGCCUCGCAUCCCCAGUAUGAAGUAUCUGCACCACCCGUGUUUCCAAGUUACCUGAAGAGCCCAAGUGAAAACAUCCACAAUGGCAUUUUCCAGGAGACAGGAGUGGUCUUUGUCACCUUUGGUAACUCCAGGCUAAAGAAAUAGGAGGUCUUGAAGAGCAAGAGAGAACUAUAUAAAAAAGAAAAAGACAGUCUACAAUAAAAAAAUUCUCCUCGUUUAUCUACAUUAUACACAGGGAAUCAUCUACACCCUAAAGACUUCUCAGGGUCUUCGUCUUGGUGUUCUUGUACAGACAGGACAAACGCAGUCUGCCCUGACAACUGCCCUCACCUGAACAACUCAGCAGACUUGGUGCUGCACCACAACCCAGAGCCCUGGCACUGCCAGAAGCACUGCCAGAAGGGAAACAUCCAUCCACGGUCAUCUUGGGCAGUUUCUUCUCCAACAGUAUAAUGUGGGGCAUGGGAAGGGCUACAUUAGGCUUCUCUGAACUAACUGACAAGGAAAGAUAGAUAGAAUCAGUUCAAGAAGAGAUCGAUCUGGUCAUGGGCAAACAAACACUCGGUAUUAUCUUUUGUAUUUAAUUUCAGUACAGAGUUGCCAGGGAGGGCAUCGUAAACACAUAAAUAUGUAUAAGUACAGAUGCUGACACUGAUGGGUGGGCUAGAUGGGUUUUUCCUUAGACAAUAAAUUAAAAAGUUCAAAUGGCUGACACUGUUAUUGGUGGGGGAGGAAUUUAACAGAGUACAUUUCCUAGAACUACUUGAUGCUAUUGAAAAUUGUUACAUCAAACCCCACAGCUAUUAUCAGUGCUGUUUCUCCAAAGAAAGAUUUAAAGAAAGAUGCUCCAGGUGAGAAAGAAUGGUUGUUGCUUUCCUUUAUUUUCAGAAUUGUUAUUUAUUAUUCAAUAUACACAAAAAAAACUUAUUUUAGAUUUUCCAUGCUUUCAUACCUGUUUACUGUUUAAGUUCAUUUUGCAACCUUGUAAAGCAAUUUUCUUUGUAUUGUGACUUUGUUUUGUACAUUCACAACUCAUGAUUUUAGAUUUUUUUGUGGCUUUUUUUUUUUUAACUUUUAUUGCUGCAUUCAUCUGAAGGUAAACAUUACCUCUAAAAAUACUUUGGUCUGGUUGGCUUUCUUUUGUUGAGUGCUAGAUUCCUUUCAAAGUCCCCUGGAAUUAACCACUUAAAUGAGCCAGUCGAAUCACACAGUAAGGCCAUUCCAAAUCACUAAACCUAAAUCACAAAUCUACGUCUUCUUUACAAUGUGGGCGGACUAUCAGCUCCGUGGCAGGCAGUUUCUAUAUUCACAUCUAAAAACUGAGUUGAGUGCAAUAUAAAACACACCACCCCAUCCAGGAGCAUAGUUGAGUUGACAUUGGGUACGAUGUACAACCCAAUAAGUCCUUUCCCACACUGACAACUGACAACAGUUUCAGAGUGUACCUCUUCAUAUCACUCAGCUCAUAGCUAUGUUUUUAAACAGCAGAUAUUAUCUCACACCAUAUCUUGCUCAGGGUGUGGUAGGCCAGGUAGGUAGAUUAAAGCUAAGUAAUAUAGGGCCCCUUCAACCUCCCUGAAAAUCAUGGAAAAUGUUGUAUGAAUAAAUAAUACCUCUCUGUUGAUGCUUUAGCAUUGGUAACUGAAGGAAAUAAGAAAGAUUUAUCAUCGUUCUCAUAGAGUCUGGAUCUGAGAGCAACAGACCUUGAAUGGAAGUGGCUGAUGACAUAUUCCUAACAUGUUCCUGGUAGUUUUGUCAGAAAAUUCUUAGCCCACAGAAACAUUCCUGAGAAUAAUAACAAAAAAUAGGUGUGAUCUGUAGAAUUCCUGCUUUCCUCCAAGAAUGUAGGCAUAUACCUACAGCACUCUGAUGUGCUUCUAGGACCCCAAAAGCUGGAAAGUAGCAUAUGCUGAAAGAAAACUAAGAAUGUGGUUUUCAGUUCCACCAAAGAGUACAACAAAGUCUGAGGUAAAAGAGCAGAUCAUCAUAAACUGAAUGUAACUGGUUUCAGGAAACCAGACCAAAUAACUGCUUAGACCUUCCCAAUUGUUUUAGUGGGAUCACUAAUAGAAAUGGCAGAAUCAACAAUUCAGAGGUUCUCCUGAAUUUUUUCCAACACAACCAUCUUAUAUUUGCUUGCUUCUAGCCUUAGCUUGUCUCAGGAUGCCAGUACCAGGUUUGCUUCGUCUCUCUUUACAAUGCUUCUACUAAGUUGCAAACAGGUUCCUUGGGCAAAGAAAGUGAUUCCACAGGAACUCAAAUAAACCCAAAUAUCCUGCACUGCCAGUGCUUAAAAAUAGUGAUUCUACUGUUUGUACUUCAGGAUUUUCAGUGUUUCUAAAUGUCCAGUGAGCCAUUUAAGAGGCUGAGCUCAUUUGGGAUGUAUUUCUUUCAUGGUAUUUUCAUUAGCCAAGAUAUCAUGAGGACACAGAUGCUGCAUUAUUUCAGUAUUAUACAUGGCUUCUUGAACUCCUGAAAGAGUUGGAGAAAAAACAAAUGCAGAGAUUUGAAACUCAAGUGUGAGCUGAAGCUGCAAGCUCCAUUCUUCAGACCUUGCAAUAAUAUAAGAGUACAUACAAACUUACGAAUCUCAAAUGAUUUGUCAUAGUUUUCUAGGAUCUUUGGAUACAAGACAUGAUAUUGUUCACCGGUCUUUAUCCUAGUGAAUCACUGCAUUCUCACACAGUGUAGGGUAGAUAUUUUCAAGAGCAAAUUGGCUGGGAAAGCUACUUGUACCAGCAGACAGGGGACAGAUGAUCUUGCCUUGAUUAUAACUCCUUGAGUGGUCACAGGAGAAAUUCAUCUGCAGAUCCAGUUCUCCUGAAGCAGUAACCAUGAAACAUGCUACAUUUGAAGUGCCUCCAUCAAGUAUGACCUGUCCCAAGUCUAUUUCAGCCACAUGUCCCUGUUAAGAUGCUUAAUCUUAGAUAUGAAAGCUUUGAGCUGGCUGUCUUCUCCAUCCAUUGAUAACACAAUGCAUGAUACAGCAUUUUCAGGCUAAUCUUUCCUACCUUAAAAACUUUUAUGCACCUAGAAAGCAAACAAGCAAACAGCAGAUGAUAAGGCAUAUGCCAGCUGCAACCUUUAGCACAGCAGUAAUCAGCAGUGCACUGAAGGAACCUUCCAACAACACUCUAUAAAUGUUUUCAAAGAAAUCUUAACAUAAUUUCCUUGCCCGCAGUGCCAUUUGAUGGCUGCUAAUCACCUCUGUGUCUUCCAAAAUGUUAGAAAUGCUUAUUCCCAGAGAUGGUAAAAAUACCUCUGAAAGACUAAAUCUAUUUGUCAUGCAUCAUCAGAGUGAGCAUUUAACAUACACCCUGGUGCUACCCCUAUAAAAGAUAGAGCCUGCAUCCCCUAGAAAAGAUUACCCCACACUCGGAACUCAGAAGCACAUACAUUCAUUCCAAAAAAAAAAAAAGAGUAGAGAGAUACUGUUUGUUUGCUAAACAGCUGUUUCCUUCCUCGGUCACAAUUAAAGGAAAGUGUUUUUCUUAUACUGCAGAAUCACAUCAGUAAUUUAUUUUCUGUCAAAAUAAAAACUUUGUUUUGUCUGAGAGCUUCAUCACUGCCAAAGAAAAUGCCUGCAAGAGUACCAAGAGAUACCAUGAUCCAUACCACAGAAUAAAUCAAAAGGACUUUGAAAAGCAGAGCUGUGUUGAGAUCACUGAAGACUGCAGGGAAGAUGGGGCUUUUGUUUGGAUACAUCCGUCUAGACACAGGGAAGAAAACCAAAGAACAUUAAACUCUUCUCAGAAGCGUUGUCAUAGAAAAACAAAUAGGACUUGACAUUACUGAUAUGUUCAGCCAAAAAAAAGAAAGGUAAUUAAAUUAUUUGCACAAACACCAGGUGUCUGCUGCAAAUUAAAGGUUCCAGUUCCCUUGUCAACUCAUCUUGAGACACACCAUAUAUUUCUGAUGCAGAAAUAUCUAACAUGCUUCCUCUUCUCAAAUCUAAAAUCUGGCCAUCAGCCUGCACCACGUAACAGCCAAACUUAAACUUGUCUAUUCUCUGAGCUGACAAUGCAGAAACUCAGGAUGAGCACAUGCUGAAUGAAAAGUCAGAGGAAUGAGGAAUAAGAGAACACCAGUAAAACCCUAUCAAAUCAAACUGUGGCAAAACAGAACCAAGAAAAAGACAGAGGGAGCCUUGUAUGAGGUAAUAUCUGUACCUGGAGCACUGACCUAAUUAGAGUUACAAUAAAAUCAGAUGCAUUUCUGCUUUGCACCACAGCAAAAUGCAGGCACAGAGAUAAUUACAAUGUUGCCAGCAGUCUCUGGCCAUGCAGGAAGCCUGGAGCUAUUUUUGCAGAUAGGCUGAUGUCCAUGCUUCUUAAUUCCCUUUCUCCCUCCAUUAAUAAAAUAGCUGAUGCUGUCAAUGCUUUCCAGAGAGAUUCCUUGGGCUCUUCACAUAAAGUGGUGUUUCAAUCAUCAGGUCAUGGCAGAAAAUACGUGCACAAGUCAACAUACUGGAGUAAACCACAUGGCUUACGGAGCAGCUGGAGGUUUAACACUGAGACCUGUGAUCUUUUUAGGGUUUGGAUUAUGUCAUUCAUGUGAGCAGUUGAUUUCAGGAGCUGCCCAUCCAGAAUUUUAAGUCAGAGCCUCUCAACAGUAUUUCUUAGCUCACUCAGUCUUCUAAAUGACUCAGUUCAGUGAACCAUUUUCUCCAGAUCAAAUCAAUCACUUCUCUCAUGAGUGUUCCAAGGACAUCUUGUAUUUUUGUCCCAACUGAACUUUAAUGCUGACCUAGCCAAGAUUACUAGUGAAUUAGGUCAGCCAGAAGCCUGAACUCUCCCAACAAAUAUCUAAAAAACAUCAAGAAAAUCCAACACAAGCAGUAGAUUCUGCAAAUCAGCUUGCACAUGUAUUUCCAAGUGGUCACCAUUUCUAGUUAUUUAACUUCAGUUUCUCCUU
RNA transcript from Lagopus muta (rock ptarmigan), 12615 nucleotides. It is a transcript of the gene named xin actin binding repeat containing 1, with no coding region annotated. The transcript has 3 exons. Lineage: Eukaryota; Metazoa; Chordata; Aves; Galliformes; Phasianidae. The record is from RefSeq and is a predicted model, not a curated record.